Molecule: ribosomal RNA, 250 nt
Filed under: uncultured prokaryote
Description: partial 16S ribosomal RNA
Rfam family: Bacterial small subunit ribosomal RNA
Source: RNAcentral
AACGUAGGUGGCAAGCGUUGUCCGGAUUUACUGGGUGUAAAGGGAGCGCAGGCGGAUUGUCAAGUCAAAUGUGAAAUGCAGGGGCUCAACCCCUGAACUGCGUUUGAUACUGAUGGUCUUGAGUGGAGUAGGGGCAGGCGGAAUUCCCGGUGUAGCGGUGGAAUGCGUAGAUAUCGGGAGGAAUACCGGUAGCGAAGGCGGCCUGCUGGGCUCUAACUGACGCUGAGGCUCGAAAGCGUGGGGAGCAAAC